AACUCCACGCCCUGCCAGGACUGCUUUAAAGCUUUCUCUAACAGUGUUGCCCAGAAUGAUCAAGGAGGAAAAACCUUCUCCAAAUAUCGUAACCCCGGGGGAGGCGACCACGGAGUCGUCCAUAACCCUCCAGCCUCUGAAGCCCGAGAAAAUGCUGGCAAGCCGCCUUCUGGGGCUGCUGAUCUGCGGCUCCCUAGCACUGAUAACCGGCCUUACCUUUGCGUGAGCAACCCAUUGAAGAAGGCAGGCUUGGCUUGGAGAUAUUUCGUCGAAGGAAGGUGAUCGAUUUCAUCAAAUCCUCACUGUUUGGCCUUGGCAGUGGAGCGGCCGAGCAAACCCAGGUCCCAAAAGAAAAGGCCACAGAUUCGAGGCAACAAUAAAGAUUUAUCUUGUUGUCUAAGCAUCUGACUUACUCCCCGGGACGGGACUGAUUCUA
This 436-nucleotide small RNA is filed under the name Pan troglodytes (chimpanzee). RNAcentral's name for it is "retained intron". Lineage: Eukaryota; Metazoa; Chordata; Mammalia; Primates; Hominidae. The record is from RNAcentral.